GAUGAAGAACGUAGCGAAAUGCGAUAAGUAAUGUGAAUUGCAGAAUUCAGUGAAUCAUCGAAUCUUUGAACGCACAUUGCGCCCGCCAGUAUUCUGGCGGGCAUGCCUGUCCGAGCGUCAUUUCAACCCUCGAACCCCUCCGGGGGGUCGGCGUUGGGGAUCGGCCCUGCCUCUUGGCGGUGGCCGUCUCCGAAAUACAGUGGCGGUCUCGCCGCAGCCUCUCCUGCGCAGUAGUUUGCACACUCGCAUCGGGAGCGCGGCGCGUCCACAGCCGUUAAACCCCCAACUUCUGAAAUGUUGACCUCGGAUCAGGUAGGAAUACCCGCUGAACUUAAGCAUAUCAAUAAGCGGAGGA
Molecule: unclassified non-coding RNA, 355 nt
Filed under: soil metagenome
Description: partial contains 5.8S ribosomal RNA, internal transcribed spacer 2, and large subunit ribosomal RNA
Rfam family: 5.8S ribosomal RNA (bases 1-120)
Source: RNAcentral